AGCUGUUCCCCUCUGGAGGUUUAAAUUACCUUCACAUCUAAAGGGCCCGAGUUUUCUCGUGGCCCUCUUUUUUUGUCCUGA
This 81-nucleotide small RNA is filed under the name Martinezella rhizogenes. RNAcentral's name for it is "Agrobacterium rhizogenes Makes More Granules Regulator RNA (mmgR)". The stretch from base 1 to 71 matches the Rfam family "Alphaproteobacterial ar15", at positions 44 to 112 of the family's 112-position model. Lineage: Bacteria; Pseudomonadati; Pseudomonadota; Alphaproteobacteria; Hyphomicrobiales; Rhizobiaceae. The record is from Rfam by way of RNAcentral.